RNAcentral lists this ribosomal RNA (302 nucleotides) under uncultured bacterium. RNAcentral describes it as "partial 16S ribosomal RNA". It matches the Rfam family "Bacterial small subunit ribosomal RNA", at positions 508 to 807 of the family's 1533-position model. The record is from RNAcentral.
GCAGUCGCCGCGGGAAUACGGAGGGUGCAAGCGUUAAUCGGAAUUACUGGGCGUAAAGCGCACGCAGGCGGUUUGUCAAGUCAGAUGUGAAAUCCCCGAGCUUAACUUGGGAACUGCAUUUGAAACUGGCAAGCUAGAGUCUUGUAGAGGGGGGUAGAAUUCCAGGUGUAGCGGUGAAAUGCGUAGAGAUCUGGAGGAAUACCGGUGGCGAAGGCGGCCCCCUGGACAAAGACUGACGCUCAGGUGCGAAAGCGUGGGGAGCAAACAGGAUUAGAUACCCCUGUAGUCCCUGUCUCUUAUAC